This 497-nucleotide ribosomal RNA is filed under the name uncultured bacterium. RNAcentral describes it as "partial 16S ribosomal RNA". It matches the Rfam family "Bacterial small subunit ribosomal RNA", at positions 28 to 507 of the family's 1533-position model. The record is from RNAcentral.
GAUGAACGCUGGCGGCGUGCCUAAUACAUGCAAGUCGAGCGAACAGACGAGUAGGUUGCUCCUCUGACGUUAGCGGCGGACGUGUGAGUAACACGUUGAGAACCGACCUAUGGGACUGGGAUAGGUUCGUGAAACCAGUACUAGUACCGGAUAAUAUAUUGAACGUCAGGGGUCAAGAUUUAAAGACGUUUUUUCUGUCACCUAUAGAUGGAUCUGCGCGGCAUUAGCUAGUUGGUAAGGUAAUCGCUUACCAAGGCAACUAUGCGUAGACGACCGGAGAGGCUGAUAGGCCACCCGGGAAGUGAGACAGCGACAAGACUCCUAAGGGACGCAGCAGUAGGGAACGGUCCGCAACGGGCGAAAGCAUUACGGAGCAACGGCGAGUGAGUGAUGACGGUCUCCGGAUCGUAAAACUCUGUUACUAGGGAAGAACAACUGUGUAAGUAACUAUGCACGUCUUGACGGUAACUAAUAAGAAAGCCACGGCUAACUAUGUG